RNAcentral lists this ribosomal RNA (261 nucleotides) under uncultured bacterium. Its description in RNAcentral is "partial 16S ribosomal RNA". It matches the Rfam family "Bacterial small subunit ribosomal RNA", at positions 524 to 776 of the family's 1533-position model. The record is from RNAcentral.
UACGAAGGGGGGCUAGCGUUGUUCGGAAUUACUGGGCGUAAAGCGCGCGCUAGGCGGUUCUUCAAGUCAAGUGGUGGAAAGCCCGGAGCCUCAACUCCGGAACUGCCAUUGAAACUGUAGAACUUGAGGAUGAGGAGAGGUGAGUGGAAUUCCCAGUGUAGAGGUGAAAUUCGUAGAUAUUGGGAAGAACACCGGUGGCGAAGGCGGCUCACUGGCUCGAUUUCUGACGCUCAGGCGCGACAGCGUGGGGAUCGAAACAGG